Molecule: ribosomal RNA, 588 nt
Rfam family: Eukaryotic small subunit ribosomal RNA
Source: Rfam
UAAAAUACUCUAGAGUUUGACCAAGUUUGGCAAAGUUAGGUAAAGUUAGGCAAAGUUAGGCAAAGCCUCCCCUAUAAAUAUGGAAUGGCAUUAGGCAUUUGUAUCCAACAAGCAAUGUAUUCUCUCUUUGUGUAAUACAAGUUUCUUUGGCUCAAUUGCUCUCUUCUCUUGUUCGAGAAUCUCUAGGCUUACUUAGCAACAUUCGGCAAAGUUGUCUAAGUGCCGCACGGGUUAGCUGCGCAAAACACUCAUCCCGUGACACUACGCUCUGUAUACAUUAGCAUGGGAUAACAUCAUAGGAUUUCGGUCCUAUUCUGUUGGCCUUCGGGAUCGGAGUAAUGAUUAACAGGGACAGUCGGGGGCCAUUCGUAUUUCAUAGUCAGAGGUUAAAUUCUUGGAUUUAUGAAAGACGAACAACUGCGAAAGCAUUUGCCAAGGAUGUUUUCAUUAAUCAAGAACGAAAGUUGGGGGCUCGAAGACGAUCAGAUACCGUCCUAGUCUCAACCACAAACGAUGCCGACCAGGGAUCAGCGGAUGUUACUUUUAGGACUCCGCUGGCACCUUAUGAGAAAUCAAAGUUUUUGGGUU